Molecule: ribosomal RNA, 514 nt
Filed under: uncultured Bacillota bacterium
Lineage: Bacteria; Bacillati; Bacillota
Description: bacterial SSU rRNA
Rfam family: Bacterial small subunit ribosomal RNA
Source: RNAcentral
UGGGGAAUCUUCCGCAAUGGACGAAAGUCUGACGGAGCAACGCCGCGUGAGUGACGAAGGUCUUCGGAUUGUAAAACUCUGUCUUUUGGGACGAACGGCUCAUAUGUGAAUAAUGUAUGGGAUUGACGGUACCAAAGGAGGAAGCCCCGGCUAACUACGUGCCAGCAGCCGCGGUAAUACGUAGGGGGCGAGCGUUGUCCGGAAUUAUUGGGCGUAAAGAGCGCGCAGGCGGUUUGUUAAGUCUACCGUGAAAGCUUACGGCUCAACCGUAACGGGUCGGUGGAUACUGGCAGACUUGAGGGCAGGAGAGGAAAGUGGAAUUCCCAGUGUAGCGGUGAAAUGCGUAGAGAUUGGGAGGAACACCAGUGGCGAAGGCGACUUUCUGGACUGCAACUGACGCUGAGGCGCGAAAGCUGGGGGAGUGAACGGGAUUAGAUACCCGGUAAUCCCAGCCGUAAACGAUGGGUACUAGGUGUAGGAGGUAUCGACCCUUCUGUGCCGGAGUUAACGCAAU